Molecule: microRNA precursor, 209 nt
Filed under: Oryza sativa Japonica Group (Japanese rice)
Lineage: Eukaryota; Viridiplantae; Streptophyta; Magnoliopsida; Poales; Poaceae
Description: MIR812 microRNA precursor family
Rfam family: MIR812 microRNA precursor family
Source: Rfam by way of RNAcentral
GACCAGUAACGCGUUGACCUUUUCUUUGUUGAACGUUGACCGUUCCGUCUUAUAUAAAAUUCUUUUAUAAUUAGUAUUUUCAUUGUUGUUAGAUGAUAAAACAUGAUUAAUAUUUUAUGCGUGACUUACCUUUUUAUUUAUUUUCAUAUUUUUUUUAAAUAAAACGAACGAUCAAAUAUUUGACACGCAAAUUUAAUGUUUGCCUUUUU